UUUUCUCUCAGAUCGGCGAACAUUUCGAUCUCUGAUUGCAAUCGAUUGUUGAGAAGUGUCAAAAUCAGUUGGGGUGAGAUACCUCGUAAAUCCAGCAACCUGCAAUUUUUCGUGACCCUACCGAUUUUUAGUUUUCCAAUUUGUACCCGGAAUAUCUCUCCAAAAGGAGUAAUCAUACGACAAAAACGAGCACUUGUUUUCCUCUCAUACCAGCAGCACUUCAAGACUUAUGCGAUAUUGAAGAUUGUACUCGAAAAAAAUGCAACACUUUUUAUUGUAUGGGUAAAAAUUGAUGAAAUUUUGGGUAAAACUAGUUUAGAGUAUAAUGUUUACAUGUUUACUGUGCUUCGACAAAAAUUAUGGGCGCGGUCGUGAAAGUCCAGGCCAGUCCCACAGGUGGAUCGCGAAACUGGUGGGAAACGACCAUUCGAACAUGUCCAGUGUGGAAACCCAGACGACACAUCGGCAAGUUGGCAGCGGAAGAAAAGCGAAGACGAACGAGCCUCCGAAGGCAAGGAAGGUGUGGCAUUACUUCAAGCGCAGUCCAAACCUUUCGAUUCGGGAAGUGGCAAAAAGAUCAAAUCUUCCGUCUGGUUCGACCAGCAGACAAUUAAGCGGGCCGGACUUCAUGUCUUCAAGUUGUUUGUAUGUUGGCAUCUUUGAGUGACGGUGCGACGAACGUGUUAAAAAGGAAGAACGCAUAGCAGAGGUCAGCAUUCCAUGUGCCUUUCCGGGGGCUCGUAGGGCGUCUGGCCGACCCCAGCCAUCCAGCCGUUAUCAGAUUCGCCACUCUAUUGCUACCAAGGAAUAACCAGCCAAAAUCAACAUGAAAUAAAACAGAAAGUAUCAUAAUAGGAGUAUGAGUAUUCUCUCAAUUUUAAACAUGAAGCCCCUCUAAUUACCCAGCUUACUACGAUCCUGACAUACAGUAUGAGGGGUUGCUAUUGAGAUUUUUCCGGAAACAGACAGUAUAGAGUGACAAUAUAGAUUAAAUAAUAUAUAAUAAAAGGAAAAUAGAAAAGGAUGAAUGAUGUACCCUAAUCAUGUA
Molecule: long non-coding RNA, 1048 nt
Organism: Toxorhynchites rutilus septentrionalis
Lineage: Eukaryota; Metazoa; Arthropoda; Insecta; Diptera; Culicidae
Exons: 3
Source: RefSeq, a predicted model, not a curated record